UCGAGCGCAGGCAUCUGGGGGCAACUCCGAGGUGUGCUGAGCGGCGAACGGGUGAGUAAUACGUANAUAACCUACCUCUAGGUCCGGGAUAAACCCCGGGAAACUGGGGCUAAUACCAGAUAAGACCACGAUUUCUAAGGAAGUUGAGGUAAAAAAUGGCUAGGCAACUGGCUAUCGCCUAGGAACGGGUUUACGUCCCAUCAGGUAGUUGGUGAGGUAAUGGCUCACCAAGCUUAAGACGGGUAGCUGACCUUAGCGGGUAACCAGCCACACGGGAACUGAGAUACGGUCCUGACUCCUACGGGAGGCAGCAGUGGGGAAUAUUGGGCAAUGGGCGAAAGCCUGACCCAGCGACGCCGCGUGGGGGAUGAAGGUCUUCGGAUCGUAAACCCUUGUCAGGAGGGAUGAUGGGUCUGUGGGCUAAUAUCCCAUAGAUUUGACAGUACCUCCAGAGGAAGCCCCGGCUAACUCCGUGCCAGCAA
Molecule: ribosomal RNA, 482 nt
Filed under: uncultured bacterium
Lineage: Bacteria
Description: bacterial SSU rRNA
Rfam family: Bacterial small subunit ribosomal RNA
Source: RNAcentral